Molecule: ribosomal RNA, 433 nt
Filed under: uncultured bacterium
Lineage: Bacteria
Description: partial 16S ribosomal RNA
Rfam family: Bacterial small subunit ribosomal RNA
Source: RNAcentral
AACGAACGCUGGCGGCAUGCCUAACACAUGCAAGUCGAACGAGGCCUUCGGCCAUAGUUGCGCACGCGUGCGUAGCGUGUGGGAAUCGGCCCUAAGCUUCGGAAGAACAGUGAGUAAUUGCUGCUAAUACCGGAUGAUGUCUUCGAACCAAACAUGUAUCGUCCAGGGAUGAGCCCGCGUAGGAGGACCUGGUUGGUGGGGUAAUCGCCGACGAAGGCGACGAUCCCUAGCUGGUCUGAGAGACUGAUCCGCGACCCUGGGACUGAGACACGGCCCAGACUCCUACGGGAGGCAGCCGUGGGGAAUAUUGGACGAUGGGGGCAAGCAUGAUCCAGCACGGCCGUGUGAGUCAUGCAGGUCUUAGGGUAGUACAGCUCUUUUACCCGGGAUGAUACUGACGGUACCGGGAGAAUAAGCUCCGGCUAACUCCGUG